This 468-nucleotide ribosomal RNA is filed under the name uncultured bacterium. Its description in RNAcentral is "partial 16S ribosomal RNA". It matches the Rfam family "Bacterial small subunit ribosomal RNA", at positions 28 to 507 of the family's 1533-position model. The record is from RNAcentral.
GACGAACGCUGGCGGCGUGCUUAACACAUGCAAGUCGAACGGAAAGGCCCUGCUUUUGUGGGGUGCUCGAGUGGCGAACGGGUGAGUAACACGUGAGUAACCUGCCCUUGACUUUGGGAUAACUUCAGGAAACUGGGGCUAAUACCGGAUAGGAGCUCCUGCUGCAUGGUGGGGGUUGGAAAGUUUCGGCGGUUGGGGAUGGACUCGCGGCUUAUCAGCUUGUUGGUGGGGUAGUGGCUUACCAAGGCUUUGACGGGUAGCCGGCCUGAGAGGGUGACCGGCCACAUUGGGACUGAGAUACGGCCCAGACUCCUACGGGAGGCAGCAGUGGGGAAUAUUGCACAAUGGGCGGAAGCCUGAUGCAGCAACGCCGCGUGCGGGAUGACGGCCUUCGGGUUGUAAACCGCGUUCGCCUGUGACGAAGCGUGAGUGACGGUAAUGGGUAAAGAAGCACCGGCUAGCUACGUG